RNAcentral lists this ribosomal RNA (164 nucleotides) under uncultured bacterium. Its description in RNAcentral is "partial 16S ribosomal RNA". It matches the Rfam family "Bacterial small subunit ribosomal RNA", at positions 355 to 511 of the family's 1533-position model. The record is from RNAcentral.
UAGGGAAUCUUCCACAAUGGACGCAAGUCCGAUGGAGCAACGCCGCGUGAGUGAAGAAGGGUUUCGGCUCGUAAAGCUCUGUUGUUAAAGAAGAACGUGGGUAAGAGUAACUGUUUACCCAGUGACGGUAUUUAACCAGAAAGCCACGGCUAACUACGUGCCUG